GGGAAUCUUCCGCAAUGGGCGAAAGCCUGACGGAGCAACGCCGCGUGAGUGAUGAAGGUCUUCGGAUCGUAAAACUCUGUUAUUAGGGAAGAACAAACGUGUAAGUAACUGUGCACGUCUUGACGGUACCUAAUCAGAAAGCCACGGCUAACUACGUGCCAGCAGCCGCGGUAAUACGUAGGUGGCAAGCGUUAUCCGGAAUUAUUGGGCGUAAAGCGCGCGUAGGCGGUUUUUUAAGUCUGAUGUGAAAGCCCACGGCUCAACCGUGGAGGGUCAUUGGAAACUGGAAAACUUGAGUGCAGAAGAGGAAAGUGGAAUUCCAUGUGUAGCGGUGAAAUGCGCAGAGAUAUGGAGGAACACCAGUGGCGAAGGCGACUUUCUGGUCUGUAACUGACGCUGAUGUGCGAAAGCGUGGGGAUCAAACAGG
Molecule: ribosomal RNA, 427 nt
Filed under: uncultured bacterium
Lineage: Bacteria
Description: bacterial SSU rRNA
Rfam family: Bacterial small subunit ribosomal RNA
Source: RNAcentral